GACGAACGCUGGCGGCGUGCUUAACACAUGCAAGUCGAGCGGUAAGGCCCUUUUGGGGGUACACGAGCGGCGAACGGGUGAGUAACACGUGGGUGACCUGCCCUCAGCUCUGGGAUAAGCCUGGGAAACUGGGUCUAAUACUGGAUAUGACCUUUCCUCGCAUGGGGGUUGGGUGGAAAGUUUUUUCGGCUGGGGAUGGGCCCGCGGCCUAUCAGCUUGUUGGUGGGGUGAUGGCCUACCAAGGCGACGACGGGUAGCCGGCCUGAGAGGGCGACCGGCCACACUGGGACUGAGACACGGCCCAGACUCCUACGGGAGGCAGCAGUGGGGAAUAUUGCGCAAUGGGCGGAAGCCUGACGCAGCGACGCCGC
Molecule: ribosomal RNA, 371 nt
Filed under: uncultured bacterium
Lineage: Bacteria
Description: bacterial SSU rRNA
Rfam family: Bacterial small subunit ribosomal RNA
Source: RNAcentral